RNAcentral lists this long non-coding RNA (25699 nucleotides) under Triticum aestivum (bread wheat). Its description in RNAcentral is "long non-coding RNA (TAES_LNC010430)". The record is from RNAcentral. Lineage: Eukaryota; Viridiplantae; Streptophyta; Magnoliopsida; Poales; Poaceae.
CUUGUGUGGUUGCUCUGCUUGACUUCUUCCUCGUUGUGGGUGCUCAACAGGAGAAUCACGAGCAGCCGGUGCAACCGAGCGUCCGCCUGCUCUCAGCUUGGCUUCAGGUAUACAAUCACCCUUCUCUUCUUCCUGAUAUUUUCCUCUCCCUUUCUUCCAGUCCCCUACUCCCGCAGCUUCACAUCUUUGUUUGUGCAGGUUUGGUUCUCUUUGCCUACAAGGUGUUUGAUGAAAAUCCAAAAAGGCUGACAUGGGAGGAUUAAUCUAUGUAUGUCAUGUGAUUUCAUUCUUCUGUAAUUUAGUUCCAGUCAAAGAUAACAAGUUGAGUAGUCCGGCUAGCUUUUUGCGAUUUAGGUAUUGAAGGAGAUCAUUAUAUUUUACUUUUAUUUGCCUCAUGGAUUCUUAUUUAUAUUUAGGGCAUAACUUUAUUGUACAACAAUGACAGUGGGGAAGAUUAUCUCAUUUCUUUUGGAGGAUUUGGUUUAGUAGGCCAUUACGCAUGUUGGAAUGAGUAGCAAGUACAGAUACAAAAAUCUGAAGCUCCUACCAGAUAGGUCGAGUUAAAUGCUUUCUAAAUGCAAAUGAUCUCAUGAAAAAGGCAAUAUGUAAUCAUUUGUAUUGGUUCAGAUUAUUCAGAGUGGGUUACUGCUAAAGCAGAGGAUGGGUAGUCAAUAUUUACUUCUGUAUGUAAAUCCAUUUGCCUGUCAUUAUGUACAGUUACUGCUAAAUUGGAGGACAGGCAGUCAUUAUUUACUUAUUCAAAUGGAAAUCUAUUUGCCUGUUAUUAUGUGUAGGCAUAAAGUUCGAUCUUGGAUGCUUGGCAAAGCCUUACUAUGUUGUUUUCCUCUGUCACAGACUCCCAGAAACUAUAUGAUCCAUUACUAUGAGAAUAUUUGGCUAGCUCGUGGCUAUUGUUUGCGGAAUAAAGUCUUAUUGCUGUAAUAAAAAAGCCAUACUAUGUUGUUGUUCCAUUAUUCCAUUUUAAUGUGCUUGCCUUUUUUGGACUAGAUGUUGGACUACAGUGUACUGGGAGGUGAGGAGAUGAGUUUGAAGUACAUGUUUUCUUUCUAGGUAUACAAGAAGCUAAUGAGUUUGAACUUCAAUUUGUGAUCUACUUUACAAGAAAAAGUUUUCCCUCAUGAGUACAAAAUUUCUAUUUGUAGGAGCUUCAGAAGGGUUGCUCACCAACGGACUGUAAGAUUUCCUGGGUACUUGCAUAAUUUAGGAAGAAACUAAAUGCGCUAUUGCAGAUCAAAGGUGAGCUCAUCCUAUUUUCUUUCUUCAGUCUUAGCUGAAGAUUUAUCUCCGGUUUCCUUGCAUUUUGUCAUGCUGGUUCUUUGUGUAGAUGUGCCAGCUAGCUUACAAACCGUAUCAUCAUCUUUGUCUUUGAGUAGAACUAAACUGGGGAUUUGCUAUUUGCAUCUGAAGUGUCCUUUGAUGUCCUUUACUCUAUAGAAUUAUUGCCCUGAAACUGAUGAAAGGACUUUUGGAGAUAAAAUUAUUGAUUGUUAGGGCCUCGGUUUAUUAACUAUUCUAUAUUUUUAGAAACUGGAAGAGAAAUCAUAUGUUGUUUCUUCUUUGUGAUGAAACAGAUCAUGUGUAUGGUUUCGACUAAGACUGUAGUUUGAUCAUACAAGGCUUUAUGGAUUGUUGAUUCUAUUUCCAUGGUUUGAUCUAUCCGAGGUGUAGCCAAGAUCAGGUGAGAGGACAAUGUUUCAUUUGUUUCGACAGAAAACCCUAGACUUCAGCUCAAAGCCUGCCCCUAGCCCAGUGUUAAAAAAUUCAGUCAACCCGUAGCUAAAGUUGGAACCACGUAGAGCAGUGGCUACUCCGGAAACUCCUGUUCUGAUCACUUCCAGGUAAUUGGUUAGGAUUCAUAUGGUCUCUUUCCAGCUAUGACAGGUGGUAUACCGCAUACUGAUGAGGAUAGAUGAUUUAUGUUGCUGUACUAUUUUAGAUAGUGAUACUGAAGUGUUAUUCUACAGAUAGCUUUCGGUUGUUCUUUUGCAUUUUUCCUCUGCAAACAUAUAUAUUAAUGGACAAACAGUGCGUACAUGUUAGCCUUUUGUCCGCGAUAGCCGUAUUAGCAUGCCUAGCUGCCAAGUAUAAAUAGUAUGUGCGUCACUCAGAAAUAUAGCAUCCCGGUGGAAUAUGGAUGAUGUAAGAAUUGGGAAAUUGCUCUCAUAUUUGAUUUAUUGAUCUCCUAGAGUGUAGAGUGAAUCAUAUAUGUACUAGAGGUGCUAAUUCUGCUGCCUCCGUGGUCAAGUCCUCCCUUUCUUUAGGCUAGGCAGAGGUCUUAACUAUUGCAGUUUGUAUGUUCUGCAGUGGUCAAGUCCUCCCAUUUUUCGGGCUGGGAGGUCUUAGCUCUCGCAGUUUGUAUGAUCUGCAGCAUCCAUNNNNNNNNNNNNNNNNNNNNNNNNNNNNNNNNNNNNNNNNNNNNNNNNNNNNNNNNNNNNNNNNNNNNNNNNNNNNNNNNNNNNNNNNNNNNNNNNNNNNNNNNNNNNNNNNNNNNNNNNNNNNNNNNNNNNNNNNNNNNNNNNNNNNNNNNNNNNNNNNNNNNNNNNNNNNNNNNNNNNNNNNNNNNNNNNNNNNNNNNNNNNNNNNNNNNNNNNNNNNNNNNNNNNNNNNNNNNNNNNNNNNNNNNNNNNNNNCGGGCUAGGUAGAACCGCAGAAGUUUUAAGUGCACGUACCUAUGUGCCAUUGCACCUAUAAGCCUCGGUAAAAUAUGUCCAAAUCUAACAAAUAUUGCAGUUUAACCUCACCAUAAUACUAAUUAACAACGACUGUGAACUUCAAGGCAGACUUAUUACUACAGUUUUGGUACGCCAGAGAUUUUUUGUUGUGAUCUUUGCUUGGAAAGGGGAGAAGACCUACAUAUUAAAGACUCAGGACAAGGGCUGAUCUGCUGUGUUUCUAUGAUUAUGGAUUUCUAAAAUUCAUUUACCUAACAAUGGAACUAUGCAGUGCGAUCUUCUGUAGUUUACUAAACCUUACCAGCCCCCUUCGAGACGAUGUUCUGUCUCUUACAUUAAAAUCUAACAUAUAGUAAAAUGAGAAAAUUCCUGCCCCAAAACAAAAAAGUUUUGUUUGUAAAUUGCUACUUAUCAGGAUGACCAAUGAUGUACCUUUAAUUAUUCAUUUGUGCUAUGCACACAUGCACGCUGGGCCCUGGAACAUAAUUCUAUCUUUUAUGUACAAAAGAGAUCGCACCAAUAAUGCUCUAAAGGAGUACGAUUGGUAGCCGACUAACUUAUAUAAUACACACACAUUACUUUGUUUUUCUAAUGAGUGUAUGUGGAUGCAUAAAAAUAGUUGAGGAGCAAUUGCUAUUCUCUAUUUCUUUAGUGAGUAGUAUAUAUCAUUUUUGCCUACCUCUUGCCUAUUUUGAAUCGAUAGAUGGUAUGCUUUGGAGAGGGAUUAGAUAAGGCCUAUGAGUGAUGAGUCGUAAGCGUGAUAAGCAAGCCCUGCACUGCUAUUUACUAUUAACCGCCAACUGAAUUUCUGAUAAUGGUGUUUCAGGAAUAAUACACUCAAUCCAACUACUACCUUUGGUGUGCUUUUUGGAUGGACUAAUCUGAAGAUGCUGGCUAGCUUGCACCACCAUCAUAUAGUCUAGAAGCAAGGGCAAGGAUUAUAGGGAAAAUAAAGGUACAUUGCUCCCAAUAUAUUUUACUUUCUUGGUGAAGUUUAGUGCUUGCACAUGAAAGUAACACAUCAUUAUGACUACUACUGUCUUCUUUCAGGCAAUUCGCCGUCCGGAGGAAAUGCAUUUUUGUUACUCCCUCUGUUUGAACUGUUGUAGUAGGACUCAGACUUUCAAAGUUAUUAGGCAUGUGGACAUGUUUUUAUUUUAGUUUGUACAGUUUUGUGAUCUUUUGGCUUUAGGUUGGUGCUGCACAGAAAGUGCAGUAAACUCAGGUGAUGCAUGAAAAAAACUGCAGACCUAGCAUAGUUUUUGUAUUUGGAUUUUGUAAUUGUGUGAUGCCCUUAUGUUCAAAUGCUUGUUCUCCAAGUAGGCCCACAACGGCUGCUAGCAAUGAUACAUACUCUCUCCGUCCCAAAAUAAAUGUCUUAACCUUAGUAUAACUUUAUACUAAAGUUAAUACAAAGUUGAGACACUUAUUUUAGAACGGAGGGAGUAUGUAUCAACAAUUCUAAGGAAGUGCAUAUGUCAGGAUGCAUAGCAUUUAUAAUAUAACUAGAGGAGAUCCAGGAAGAGAUGAACUCAAAAUCAUUCAUGAUUUAAUUGGAAAAUAUUCUUUAGGAAAAGGCAAUCACUCAACCAAGUAUUUUAUACUACGUACAAUAUAACCAGCUGGAUAAUUGGAGCAGUCUCAGCCACUAAUUAGUGCUACUAAUUAUCAACACUGCCCACCAGACUUCUGCUAUUAGCAUAGUAGCAACCACUGUAGCUCACAAAACAGUCUACAGAUUCAUCGAACGCCGAAGGAAGUUAGUUUUUACCUGAGCAGAAAAGGUGGCCGUAAUGGUGAUGUACGCCAUCUUGAUGUGCGCCUAUACGACCUCCUGCGACAUCACGGCGAAGCGGCGCUUCACCCAGCCGGUCGGACGCCCUGCAGUUCCCCGCCUUCUCCCAGGGAUCUGCUGGAGGGGAACGACGGCACGCGAAAGCAGCUGCUAUAGCCUUGGCCGGGGCUUGGGCGCGUUGGACUCUGCUAGCGCUGGUCGCGGCUGCUCCCUCACAUCGCUGGCCACCCCUCACGGCGGACCUCACCUUGUGGAAUCCUCUCUCAUGGAGCUCACUUCAGUGAAAUAAUGGAACCUAGAAGUGUCCGCCGGAUGAGGCAAGAGAAAGCAAUUCUUUAGUAUUAAAUUACAAAACAAAAUAAAAAUGUGCUAUUAGGUGGUGGGGGUCCAAGAGGACAGGUGUUUCUCAGCGACUGCCCUACACGACAGAAUUACAAAUUUGCCACUGGGGCAGUAGAGUCAUUUCACAUGGUCAAAGUAGGGAUAAGAAUAAAAAAUGAUUAUAAUAAUAACAAAGGGCAUAUUAUCUAUAGGAAAAGAAAAGGCAGGGCAAAUCAUCUAACCCAACGUAAAGAGGGGCGAACCAUAAGUGCCUAAAUAAAGCGGGGCGAAUCAUCCAGUCUCCCGUAUUUCUCAGGCCGUCACAACCGACACGCAUGCAGGGCGGAGCAGCACGCCGAGUAGACAGAAGGGCGAGACAGAUGACCAAAACAACAGUGACGCAGAUCACAUGAACGGCGAAGCAGCGCCACAGAACCAACAUGGACUGCCGGAACAUCACGAUGGUGGAGUCCUCCGACCAUACCAAGGAACCAAUACAGAGCUACGUCGAGUCGCUAACCCGUUGAGAGGACACGCACACACCCGACACCCGGGCUUGGACCACAAGGCAAACGCAUGUCGGAGCGCUCCCAGCCAAAAACAAAUCUAUUCCCAAGGAGUUUUUCUUUUUUUGAGGGUCUAUAUUCUCAGGGACAUUUUUUCUGCAGAAACAAGUAUGACGGCAAAAUCGAUAUAUGCCGCCAAUUGAACGAGGGAGUUCCUAUCUAGGAGUUUUUUCUUGAAAAUGGGAUAUAUUAUAAAAGUUCACCGAAAGUACAAAACAUCACAAACAUAAUAAAAACUACAUCAAGUACCGAGACCACAGAACGACCAAUGUUGCCGCUAGAACGAGACGCCGACACGCCGCACUCGCUGCUCCUUUACCAGAGCCAGCUUGACAUUGUCGAUGACAGACAUGAAGUCUUCAUGCACGUGCCUUAAGGACCAACGCUUUGGAGUCGUAGUCGUCAUCGUUGAACCAUUUCAAAGAUCUAAAGCACCUGCACCAAACCUUGCCACAUGACGAGAAACCUUAACCUAGGAAGGUCCGCCGGUCAUCUACCUGUGAAGUCAGCCUAAACGUCUAGAAUGGAUGUCCGGUUGACCGAAUGCCAGCGCCAAAAAACGUGCUAUGAUAAAAACAUCAAACGACCCUCAAGUAGCUGCGCGCCGAAGUGUGCUGGUUAGGCGGGUAGCCUAGCAAGGUUUAUAGGAGAGAUGUGGCAGUUGUGUGCAGGUUUUCCAACCACAAGUUUGUUGUAUUGCCUUAUUCAAAGUGGGUACUUUUUUAAUGCCUUAUUUUGUAUUUCAUUUAGUUCAACAGUAUGCAGAGGCCGGGGGUUAUCCUCCUUUUCUAAAUUUUUUAGUUCAACAGUGAAUAAUAGUAGCCUAUUUUUUUGGAUCUUUGACAAGUUACAUUAGCAUCGUCUAAAGGUUUGUGUGUGCUCUCAUUUCUUAUUUUCUGUAAAUUGGACAACCAAGAUAUAUUUAGUGCAGUAAUGGGCUUACGAUGAAGUAUGGCCGGUAGUAAUAUUUAUCGCCUCUGUAUCUAUGAUUAAUCAUAAAACAAUUAAUUCGGUGUCUAUAUGAAGUGUCUACUUCAUGUAUCAUCAUAUUUGUUUUCCAUGGAAGAUCAGCUUUAUAGAUUACCCCAGUCUAAUUACAAUAGUAUAUGAAAACAUGGUCAGAAAUAUAUGAGACAACAACAAACCAAGGUUGCUUAUGCUUUAGGGCCAACUUAUCCCUCAUGCACCAUUUUUCUAUUGCCUUUUCAACACAUUAUACAGAACCUUGUCUGCACUGGCGGAGCUUCAGCAAGGCUGAAUGGCCAUGGCCCGCCCAGCCCAUUGAAUUUUAUACACUAUAUAUCUAAUUCUGGGCCUUAAAACAGUAGCCCAUAUGCUAUUUUUUCUAUUCGGCCCGCCCACCUUUGGGCUGCAAGCUCCGCCACUGCUUACCUGAUACUCCCUCCGUAAAGAAAUAUAAGAGGGUUUAGAUCACUAAAGUAGUGUUCUAAACGCUCUUAUAUUUCUUUACAAAGGGAGUACCAAACAAUCUUAAUCAGAUCCAUGUAUCAACGCGGCCAAGAAAGCUCGGCCACAACCAAUCACAAGAAGGCUCUACAUGAUGUAGGUAGAUAUGUAUUUUGCUUUAUAGAGCCAAUGUAAACAAGCAAUCGUGAACUACCUUCAAAACUUCCUUUUGGUGUGGGUUAAUUUUGUUGGUCUAUCAUGCUCCGGUGAAAAGCAAUAUAAACCACCACUAUAAAGAUACCAUUCAAGUAUCUUCUUUGAAAUCAUUAUUACUCGCAAAUAUAAUGGUUUCCGUACAUUGUUUGAGUUAGCCUCUUGCGCCAUGGGCGCAACGGGUCAUCUAGUAGCAUUCAUGGAUCAGCUACAACAACCAUGGCAAAAUUGAUUCACAUGUAAACAAUCUGCCAAGAACAUUUUAUAGCAAGAGUACAACAAGAUUAAGGCAUGCUAGGGCACUCCAUAAUUUCAAACAGGGGCAUGGACGGAUAGAGCACAACCAUAUGUCCAAAACAUCCUUACUGAAGCAACUCAAAAUAAGCAUGGAGCUCACUUUAGCGUCAUGUUUACAAGGCAUAAAAAUAACAGCAGAGAAAAGACUUAGUAAAAUCCUAAGUCCCUGGAAUCAGCAAUAUCACGAAUGCUACUUUGCAUGCUUGUGCUAGUCACCACAAUGAUCACAAAAAUACAUGUCAAGCACCCCUGUAAAGAUGGCAUGGCAUAGAUCAAAAUACAUGUGGAUCUCAUGCCCAUAUGCAGCACACAACAAAUGUAGCAAAAAUAACAAAUCCUCACACUCUGAUAAGAAUCAGCACCUAACAAUUUAUAGCACUCUUGCAUCAGUGAUUUGGGCAUCAAGAUGGACUCAAACAAGCAUGGCACAAAGGAAUGAAAUGAAGAGCAUAUCAUGAUGAACAUUUUGAUAUAUCAUGCGCAUGAAACAGAGCUAUGGAUGAGAAGUUAUGAAAUGAAGAAUAGAUGCAUAAAAUGUUCCAGAAUAAGGGACUUAGUGGGAAAAGAGGGGGUGUAGACCUCAGAUCUAGGGUUCGGGCGCGGUCCACGAGGUUUGCCGGAGAAGUGUGUUGCGGUGGCCGGAGAAGAGGGAACUGCCGGAUCCGAGGCGGAGGAGCUCGCCGGAGUCGCUAGGGUGGCGGAUCCACGGGCCGGAGGAGGUGGUGCGCCGGGCGGAUCAAGGCGCGGGCGGCGCCGCGACGGGUCUGGUCGGUGGGCGGCGGCCAGAGCGAAGAGGGACGGCNNNNNNNNNNNNNNNNNNNNNNNNNNNNNNNNNNNNNNNNNNNNNNNNNNNNNNNNNNNNNNNNNNNNNNNNNNNNNNNNNNNNNNNNNNNNNNNNNNNNNNNNNNNNNNNNNNNNNNNNNNNNNNNNNNNNNNNNNNNNNNNNNNNNNNNNNNNNNNNNNNNNNNNNNNNNNNNNNNNNNNNNNNNNNNNNNNNNNNNNNNNNNNNNNNNNNNNNNNNNNNNNNNNNNNNNNNNNNNNNNNNNNNNNNNNNNNNNNNNNNNNNNNNNNNNNNNNNNNNNNNNNNNNNNNNNNNNNNNNNNNNNNNNNNNNNNNNNNNNNNNNNNNNNNNNNNNNNCCUGGGCCCCGGCAGGCCGGCGCGCGGGCGACGCAGGUAAAGUGGGUGCGGCGUCUCAACGAACCAGGAGGAGACACGUGGCUGCGGCGAGGGUGGCGGACAUGUCCGUCGGUGGGGAUUUUGUCCGCCGGCGGAGAGGGGAAUUGCUAGGGUUUCAUCCAGGAUUUUUGGACGGGGAGGACAUAUUUAUAGGUAGGAGGAGUUUGGAGUGUCCAAAUGGGGUGUAGUUUUCGACCAUGCGAUCGUGAUCCGAUGGCGGAGGACAUGGAAGUGGUUUGGAAGGGUUAUUGGGCCGUUUUGGAGGGGUGUUGGGCUGCAACACACACGAGGCCUUUACGGUUCCCCGGUUAACCGUUGGAGUAUCAAACAGACUCCAAAUGGCACGAAAUUUAGCAGGCGGUCUACCGGUGGUGUACCAAGGCCGCUUGGCAAAUUUCGGUCCAUUCCGAGAAAGUUUAACACCCGCUCAUGAAAAGCGGAAAAGGGGAACGUCGAUGCACGUAGGAGUGUCGGAUUGCAAAACGGACAACGGGGAAAAUGCUCGGAUGCAUGAGACGAACACGUAUGCAAAAGCGAUGCACAUGAUGACAUGAUAUGAAAUGCAUGACAUGGACAAAAUGCAAAACGAAGAAAAAACCCAACCAUAAAGGGAAUCUCAUAACUUAAAGCCGAAAUGACAAGAGUCGGAGUACAAAUAUGGCAAAUUACAUCCGGGGCAUUACAGAUGUGUGGACCAAAGUUGGCUGCACAAACUGCUGAAGCGGUGCCAAAUAAUUUUCUAAUGGCACCGCUGAUGAGAUGGCAACAAUUUAAGAUACUAGGUACAAAUUGUGACACUGUCUUAGGAUGUGUUUGGUUGAAGGUGUGGUAUGAAUGCGUUGGGACCAUGACAGUGUGUGAAUCACAUUUAACAAAUGAUUUGUAACAACAAAAGAGGGUCUAACCUUCUCUGCACAUGCCAAAAACUUCCUCCCACUGUCCACAGAUUCAAACACAACUAGCUUCACGCAUGGAGAUUGAUGGUGACAACGAGCAGAUAGAUCUUCAGCCACCCCGCUCCAUUCGUUGCCACUGAUGGUCCUAGGGAGCUACAAGAGGAAGAAAUUACUCAAAUUGACCACCGGGUAAAAAUCCUUCAUUCCAAGUCAUAGCCCGAGGGAGAGAAGAGAGGCAUACCCGGGUGGUGAAGGAGUCAUCGCCGGAGGAGGAACCGCUGGAGAGGUCUUUGAAGAAGACCAUGGCGACCCCGGUGGUAGGAUGCGAGACGACGAGAGCGAGGAAGUGUCUAUAGCUUAGGAAGGAAGGAAGGAAGGAAGGAAGGAAGGAGGAAACAGGGGAAAUGUGACUUGUGGUCGGGGAGAAAAUGGGGUGGGAAGGGGGGAGGGGGUAGAUAUUUUGGCGGUAGGCCAAAAUUUUGGAAAUGUGGAGGGAAACUUUGCGCGCGGUGCCAUCGGACCAUUCACUUUGAACGAUUGUGUGCAUCGCAAACGAUUCUUCUGUUUACGCGCAUGGGAUGGGUUUGAUAAUUCAAAUUUUGGUGGAAAUUUCCUUGGGUACGUCAUUGCAUAAUUUAACAUCGCUUGCUAAUUUGGGCACACAAAAGAGCGUACAGCAAACAGAACACACUUACUGAAUUGAGCAAUUUUAGUAAUUAAACAGAGCUAGUUGACCUAAACAUUGCUCUAACAAAAGACCAACAUUAAAAACAAAGCCUAAGUACGCAUAAUUUUAACAAAUCCGCCACCGCGCCAGCCUAUGCAUCGCCGGUGUGAGAUGAGACGUUGAUGACUUGUCCUGGCGACAUGCCACCGUUGGUGGACUCCGCGCCCCCUGCUGAAGUGGACCACGUCUUCAUCCUCGUCCUCGUCCUCGUCCUCGGCGCCGCCCUCAAGGUUGUAGUACUCGUAGUAGUGGCUGCGCCAGAGCUCACGUUGGUACUCCACCGCCGAUUCCUCGACGGAUAGACUCUUCUCUACCUCCACCUCGGCUACGCGCAACUCCUCCUCCCGCCACUCCACAAUCUCCGCUGCCUUCUGCAUCUCCAGCUCCCGCUCGGUGACCUCAUGAUGAAGCAGGUGCUCAAUGGCCACCGCCGCCUUUUCGGACAUGGGUUGCAUGAUGGAGUCUGAGGUGGCCAGGAAUAUCUUGGCGUGUGCAUCCUCGAUCUUGGCGUGGAUGGCCUCGACCCAGGCCAGGGCGACAUCGGCGGCAUAGACGGCAGCUCGAGCGCUCUUUGCGUUUGCCGCCGCCGUUGUAGUAGCAGCUGCAGCCGUCUUGGCUGCUGCAUCUGCCCUAUCGGCAAAUUUGAACUACAUCUACAUGCAACACCUAACCAUAACGGUUUGAAAAAUCGUAUUUUUGUGUACUUGUGUGCGAGUUAAAAAAUCAUCAGAUGAUGUAAAUAUCUGGUGUUCAAAAAGAAAAAUGUAAAGAUCUGGCAAGACAACUGGCCCCCACAUGAUUGGCACUCUAUCUCGCGGCUCGAGGUUUGGUAGGUGAGUGGCGGGGAUCAUUAAUCAGACACGGUUCUGUAUUGGAAACCGCCGGCUAUUAUGUUCACACACGGAUUUUGCCGCGGGCAUCGUGUGUAAUUCAAACUACAGUACUCGUAAAUUCCGGCGACCGGCGUGUGCACUGUCCCCGUCGAUCUAGAUUCCGGCCGCCAAUAAAUACUACCUUGCUCACGUCGUCCCGCCUGCAUUCUCAUCUACAUCGUCCCCUCGCUUGCCUUCUCUCUCUCUCUCAAAUCUCUGCCAUGGCGCCGCCGGUCUGCCCACGCGCCGAUGAGGAGUCGCCUCCCCCCGAGGACGGUCACUCGAAUAGCAGCGACGAGGACCCCUACGCGCCGCCGGACGAGGUUGCAUCGGAUCCCCCAACUUUGGAUUGGUUUUGGGGCCUGUACAAUCUUUGUCUAUGGAAGUCGCUGCCGCCGGCUGAGAAAUCCAGGGAAGUGGCAUUCAAGAAGGAGAUGGUAGAGGAGGAAGCCAGGUACCAGGCGACUUGUGAAGCCCGUGAUGCUGCCUGGAAAAAGGAGGUGGCGGAGCUUUGGGGGCGGGUGCGUCGUUGUGCCGAGGAGGUGUACGAAGAUGGGUACUUCGCGAGGAAGAUCAUAGGCGUUGGGCGCCUCGUUGCUGCGUGGAGCUGGGCCGAUAAGCUCCAGUGUGCCACCAAGGAGGAGCUCCGGUUGGCGCCCAAGGAAAUGGCAAGAUCGUUCGCGCACAUCUGCCAGCAAGAGGCGGAUCGGUACGUCAAGCGCUGUGAGGUCGAGGAGGCAAAGUACUGCCUCCCCACUGAGAAGACACCGCGCACCAGGGAGCUCCUGACGAGGGGCUGCCGGAAUACUGGCCCCAGGAGGGAUUAUUAGUUUUAGUAUUGUUUGUUUUCAAUUUUAUGCAUUGUACCUAGUAGUUAAGUAUCAUCACAUAUAUGUGAUGAUAUUAUAUAUAUAUUCUGUGAUGAACUAAUGAACAAUUAAUAUAUAUAUAUCAUGAAUUCCAUUUUCCAUCUGUUUUUGUAUACUAAUUUGAAUCUAGUUGUUAUCAUCCACAUAUACAGAAUGGAAAGCGUAUAUACACAUAUUGAAACAGAACAUAUGAGAAUGGAAAACAGAGUACACAUAUUGAAACAGAGGAAUAAAAAGAGCAAUACUAUGAUUGCUGUGAAUACAUAGCUAUCCACGUUGAAACGACUCAACAAAAUAAAACGCGUCCAUGAGACCAUAACCAGCAGCCCUUGCCUAUGGUAGCUCUUGGCUCUGCCUGAACUCGUGCAGGCGUUCGCCCAAGCGAUCGACAUGCUUGCGGUACAUCUGGAGCACGAUCUCGAGCUCCAAGUGGGAUAUUUCAUGGGAGAUCACCAGCUUGAGGAUGCGACAGCCAUGUUCCUCUACUGCGCCCAGGUGAACACCUGGGCCAAGGAGGCGGUAGAGCCUACGGACCAGCACGUUGGCAUCCAGCGGGCCGCGGACAAGGCGAAUGGCGCCACCCAUGCGAAUGGCGCGGCAGACGUCUAGUGCAAGUACGGCGUGGCCAGCCUCAAGUGCAAGUACGACGCUGAGGGCCUCUACCCACUCGCGGCGAGGAAUGGGGGUAUUGACGGGACGUGUGCCUAGUUGCGACGCCGUGUCGACAGCAGGCAAACGCUGAUGGAUCCGCUCUUGCUGUGCGGUGCUCCAAUGGUCUCCCCGUGUGGUGAGCCGCAGCCUAUCGGCGCUGACGUGCCUAGCUUGCUCUACGGCACGCCAUCGAUCAUGUUGUGUGGCGAGCUGUAGCCUAUCAGCGCUGACAUGCCUAUCUUGAUCCGCAGCGCUCAAGCACCAUGCGCCAAAGGUCUUCUCAACCCUGGUGAUGACGCGCAUCACAGCAUCGUCCAUCGCGUUGCUGGGGAGCUUCUCGGCCUCGACAUGCCGUGGCGCCUGCUUGUUUUCCUCGUCGACGAGGUUGAUGGCAGAGGCGGCGCUUGGUGGGUUGGCAUGCUUGGAAAAGGUGGAUGUGCUACAGGCUGCACUUGUCGCCUCCGUGCGUCGUGCGCCACCUAGGUUUAUGUGCAAUAUCGCUGGGUGGCGGGAAACAGGUGAGGAAAUGGCGAGAAAUGGUGGUGUGUUCAUAAAACACUAUCAAUUAAUGGAAACUUAGCAUAGAAGGAACAUCGAGCUAGCACAAGAAGUAGAUGAUGAUCAGAUGAACACACACCACACUAGGGAACCCGUCGGCAAUGAAUUCAUCAAUCGCAAAGGGUUGAAUACUAGCAAGCGUCUGCCCUCAACACACACGGCUUAUUCCAUCACAAACAGGUCGGAUGGAUCAACUGUAUGCCACGUAUCACACAUUGUGAAAAAGUAAUGCGGUAGACCUUCUUUAACACGUGUUAAAAAACAAGGACCUCGAGAUUAAAUAAACUCAUGGGAUGGGUCAUAUCAGUCAUUUAAUUUGACAAAUACAACCCAUCCUAUCAGUUAAUUUAACAUCAACACAACUUUCCAUCCAGUCACCCAUCUGAUGGCUGCUCCAGCCUGAGCACACUUAACUUGAGAGUUCUCUUACAUGAGCUACUGGUGGAACAACUAGUCCUUGCUGAUAUAGGAUGCCUCUUCGCAUCCUUAUGGCGUAUCCGGAUGACUGCCCGUCUCCCAAUGGCCAAUAGAUGUUGUGUAGACAGAGCAUAUGACAUACGUCUUAUUAGAAGCAAUCGUCUGUGUUAUUAUCGGUCUUCGCACAUAUUUCUGAUUACAGACCUCUUUGCCGCAUAUCACACACAUCUUGUUAUAUUGAACCGUUUCUAUUCUCUUGUCUCAACGCAAACAGUUCAACCAAUUGAACCGCAUGUCGUAUAUCACACACACCUUGAUCUGGCUGACCGUUUCUUUUGUGUUGCCUAAUGAUAAACAGUUCAUCCGAGUGAACCGUAUGCUAUAUAUCGCACACACCUUCAUCUGGCUGACCGUUUCUUUUGUUCUUCCUCAUCGCAAAUUGUUAAUUGAACUGAACUGUAUGCCCUGCAUCGCACACGCAACUAAAAUCUGAACCGUGUUUGAUGCAUCCUCCAUCGCAAAUGUUUUACACCUUUUUUGACGGUUUUUACACUACCGUUUGCGAUUAUUGCAUUGCACACAGUUUCGUCGAAGGGUCUCUGAUCGUAGUGUUGCGUUAGCAGCAUGCUAUAGUAGUGAAUGGAGUAUGUACAAGAAGAGAAGGGGUACACCCACGUUCGUCGGAGACACGGUCGCUGCCUCGCACUAUAGCGUUUAGAACACAUAAAAAAGAAGCCAAUAAUAUUUAUUUUUUGUUAGCAUGUAUUAGCAGUUCACUACUUCACGUCUAAAGAAACCAAUCAGUGCAUGUAACCAUUCCUACUGAUUUAGUGGUCAACCAUGAAUAUGUUGUAAUUAAUGUAGAUUAAAGUUUGAAUAAUUAUGUAAACUACGAGACAGAGUACAUUUCCCCACUGAUCAUUUGUCUUGGUUGAUGAGAUUUCAAAUUUAAGCCCUAUAAACCGAAAAUGAGGGAGUAGUUAAAUUUUUUGGUCAAACUUUGACAAAAAAUAUAUGACGUGGCGUAAAAACCUAGACGGAGGUAGUAGUACGAGAUAUGAUGGCACACUGACUUAGGCCGAAUACAAGUGCCCACUCAUUAUUGGGAGAGAGCAAAGUGUACAUACAAAGUAAUUAAAAUUGAAUUUCUUGAAAAUAUUUAAAAUUGGAGAAUGGUGCAGCCCACCUUUUUGAUAUUUUGACCGUGUGUGGUUCAGUUGUUGUUCACUUCAGAGGGUCAUGUACCACACGUCAACUAUAGUAAGCAUGACCGGGAGGCGUGCAACAUUAAUUGCGAGUUGACUCCUUCGGGCGUUAAAUUUUCUUCAUGUAUUACCAUUGCCCUAUUAUUUUUCUUCACUACGUUAAAUAAAGAGUUCCACUUCGUGCACAAUUUAAAAUGAUUUUGAUAUAGAGAGAAAGAAAACCACUCCAACUAUAAAUGCUGCAGCCUCGGCUCUUGUUUUCUAGGGUUUGCUCUCUUCACACUCUCUCUCCACUAUAUAUAUACACGCUGGAGCCUCAGCGCUUGUAGUUGCUCUCUUCACACUCUCUCACCCUCUCCAGAUCUAAACAAGACCACGUUGGCCUCUCUCUCUCCCCCUCACUACUAGUCAAAGAGUCAGCAGGAUCCCGUCCGCCGGGGAAGGGAAGGAGGCUUAACGCUGUCGCCACCGGCGAGGGAGGGAAUCCACUACCGGCGUAGCUAUUCUCUUCCACCUAGCAGUGGCACGGGAGGGCCUCCGACCCCUUCUUCCUCGCUGUCGUACAUAGUGUGGGCAGAUAGGCCUCCGCCCCCCACUGAGCCACACCCCGAGAACCUUAAGGUAUAAUUUACUUAAUCCACAUGCAUUGCUCUAGCUGCAUGUGGAUUUUUUCUGCUUCUGCACUCGAAUCUAGGUGUUGGAUCAAAUAGGGAAGUAGUGGGGAAAGUUGUAUAGCAUGAAUCUAGGACGUGGUUCAAAGAGGAAAGGAAGGGGGAAGUAGUACAGACUAGCUAUUUAGCACCUAUGUUGGUUGAAAAGGGAAAACAGUGACAAAUGCAGUACACACAUCUGUAACGGACUGAUCUUUCUAUGGGUGGGGGACAAGGCUGUAGAGUUUGAGCAAGACUAGAUUUGCUGCCCUCACAUAGGGAAAGGUGUCUAAAGAUAACAAAACUGGUACCAACACAUAUAUGCUCCUUGGUUGUUUGUUCUUUGUUGCAACAGACUGUGCAUCACCCCUUUAUACAUCGGUAGAUGCACAUGGUGCUGGUGCGUCCGCUGUCCCAUACAACUCUUUAGCUGUUGUUAAUCUAAUAAUGCCGCUGGAAAGUUGAAGCAAUGCCACAGUUAAAAGCAAAUUGCAUGCUUAACGAAUUUUAUUGUUAAUAUAAUCUCUCUAUUAAUAUGAACCAAUGCCACUGUUUGAGAAAUGCUAUUUUCUUGCUUUCUUUCCCAUUUAGAUAAGUAAGAUGCUUCUUUUUGUGGGAUUUUGUGCCAUCCACCAUUAUUGACCAGUAAUUGUUUCCUUUGUACCUCUGUGUAAACAGGGUUAUCUACAUCACCUCGUUGCUAUUGUGACCUUUUGUUGCACUACACAAAACACUUUUGCUUUAAGAGUGUUUUGUACAGUUCAACCAAAAUGUCACAUCGACAACGUUGCUUGAUUGCGUGAUCUUAGUGGAAUUGCACAAGAGGAGAUCUGACUUCCUAUCUUUGUUGGCAAAUUUUUUUCAGAUCUUCUUCUUGUGAGUUGUUUGAACUCCGCAUCACGAGAGGUUAGUAAUGGCCUUCUUCCACAUGAUUGUGCAGUGUGCUUUCAUAUGUUGUGCUACUUAUACGGUAAUGUUGCUUGAUUUUAGUGAACUGCACAAAAGGAGACCCGACUUCCAAUCUUUAUGUGCACCGUAAUAUCCCAUUGAGGUAAGGUAAUGAUAUUUCACAACUCUUAGCCUGUAUUUUGCUAUUGUCAUUAGAAAAGUAAUGUAGUUGUUUAGUGCUAUACUUGUGCUCCCUAAUUGACGUGCCAAAUCUUACAUUGAAGGCGAAGCUUGUCUGUUAUUGAACCAAGUGAUGAAGGGGAAGAACAAGUGGAAGAAGAACAAAAAUCAACUCCCGGUGCUGUAAUGAAGCACUAGAACUGUGAUGACACAAGUAAUGAUAUAGUUUUGCAUCUUAAUUUAUUGCUAUGGCUAGAACUAGCAAUUGUUAUGCCACUAUGAUUUGAUGCCGCUCUUAAUGUAAUAUGUAAUUAUCUCUACUUAUGCAAACAGGGAUCUUGUUUGAAGAUAACAUAUAUUUUAGUGGAACUGCUCAAGAAGAUGUUGGAAACAUUAAACUAAUCGAGGAGUUUAUAGUAAGCAUGGCAACCAUAGUAGAUAAUAAUAGAUGGUUCUGGAGAAGUGCAUCAUCUGCAUGCUCUACACAAAAGCCUCCUAACAAAGGUUGGUAUCGGCCCACGGAUUUCAUCUAUAUGAUUGAGCUUUGUCAUCUCUAUUGGUGUUAUGCUACUGUUUAGCUACUGUCAGGAGAAAGUGGUAUUGUUUCACAUGUUAAUCUAAGGCUGCUAAUAAAUUGAUGCAUCGGUUUGCCAUCGUUAUAGCCACUGAUAAAAUGAAGUAAUAAUACAGUUCAAGUCGAGUUGCUGUGGUAUCAUAUCAUUUCCUAUGAGGACAAUGAGGAUGCAUCUCUUUGUGACUAUACAUUUCAUCAGUUGCUUCCUUUGUUAAUGUAAUGGUUGUUUUAAAUAUUUCCCUUUCUUUUUUCGAGAAAACAUGGAUGCUAGCAUUUAGUUGCUCUCUUGUCUUUGCACAACAGGAUCCUCCUCCUUUGAAGAAGAAUGCGGAGUACGUGGACUGCCUAGUUUCGAUUAUGCUAGGAUGAAGAAGCCCAGUCUAUCUUCUCAUCAGAAGGAGCAGUUGAAGGAUGGUCACUUUACUCCCCACAAGACCAAACUAACUUCAGCUCAGACGGACUCACAGAUUUCCAUCUUUUUUGCUGUGAUGGGCAAAUAGAAUGUUGUUCUACGAUUCUUUCUGCUGAGUUCCAUUUUUUUAAUUGUGUGCUCUGUAUGGACCAUGUAGGUGUGUGUGUAAACUAUAAAUUCAUAAUACAGUUUGCUUUACUAAUCACUUUUUUGUAUUUAUGCAAACAGGGGUGCUCAGCUCGAUUUCAAUGGGAACUGCACAAAAUGUUCUGAUGGUUCGUGCCCAUUAUACUUCAUCAUGCACAAUACAUCAAAUAUUCUCGAAUCAUUCAUUUCCACCACUAGCCACAAAAUUAGCUACAAGAAAGGAGGUGCCGAUAUGUUCAACGCGUUGCAACAUAUAAAGGCGAAAUCAUGCAAGCUACGCGUGAAUUUGGUUGAUUUUGGUGGAACUGCACAAAAAGAACAGCUGAUUUAUUUAGCACGAGGUGCCAUGUUAAUGUCCGAACUGAUUGCAAACCCCGCCGAUUCCACAAUCAUAGGCAUUUGAUAUUUUCGAAUGGGAAAAUCUUGUCAAAGUUUGCUCAUUGAUGUACGCAAAAAGACACACAUUUGAUAUUUUGGAAUGGGACAACAUUGUCAAAAUUUUCUCAUUGAUGUUAGCAAGAAGACAUGUGUUUGAUAUUUUCGAAUGGGACGCCCUUUGUUGUCAGUAGCAUCGAUCAAUUUUUCUUUAUUCUUUAGUUGUGAAGUAAAUAUUGGCUCUGACAUGUGAAUCGUUGAGAUGCAUAAUCAUCGAUUGUUUUGAAUGUUCUCCAUGAAUUGCUAGGCCUAUGAGUUUGAUUGCAAUAUACAAGCACGCUAAAAAGCUGCUCAAACUUUUUGUACUCCCUCUAUUCCUUUUUACUUCGCAUAUUAGAUUUCUUUCAAGUCAAAGUUUGCAAAGUUUGACCAAAUAUAUAUUAGAAAAUGUCAACAUCUACAAUACCAAAUAUACUAUAUACUAUGAGAGUACAUUUCAUAAUGAAUCUAAAAAUGUUGAUUUUACAUUAUGAAUGUUGAUACUUUUUUCUAUAAGACUGGUCAAAGUAGAGAUACUUUGACUUCAAACAAAACUUAUAUGCGGACUAAAAAGGACCGAAGGGAGUAUGUGUGAAACUACUGCAAACAAGGUGAUCACCGUGCGUCCUUGGAAUAAUGCUAGUACGUAUUGUUUUUCAUGUUCAUCCAAUGCCAGUGAUACAAGAAUUCGAACUAAUCGAACUAAAUUCAUUCAUACAUGGUCGGAUUUCAUAUAAACAUGCCGGAUUUCAUUACAUUUCAUACAUUCUUCAACUAAAAACGGGUGCGCUGGAGGUAUAACUAAUUAAUGUAAUAUAUGAUCUCUGGCGCCCAUUUCCCAUGUCCGGCUGAGCCGAACAGAAGCUUCUUCUCCAGCACAGCUCUCCGGCUCCACGUCGGCGCCAAGGAGCUAAUCGGUCGUCAAUGUUCAACCCUCCAAGCUUGGCUUCAACCGGAGGGCAGCAGCGGUGGCCUUACAUGGACCCGAGCGGCGGUGACCUACCGUGUUCUACUCUUCCUCGUUUUCUGUGUGGUGCAGCUUCGUUGGCAGCAAGGCGGGGCCUCGACGGAACCGGCGAUGUUCUCUACCUCAUUGUUGGUGGGGCGGUGCCUCGGCGGAGCGGGGGAAAUCCUCCCUCGUGUUGCUGGCAGGGCGGGGCAUCGAUGAAGCCGACGAUGUCCUAUGCCUUGUAGUUGGCGGGGCGGGGCGUCGCAGAAGUUGGCGAAGUCCUCCGCCUCGGUGCCGACGGGGCGGGGCCUCGGCAGAGCGGGCAUUGUCCUCCGCCUCAUCGUCGGUCUCGCCAAACAGCGCCUCGCCCGCUUCAUCGCUCUUGUUGUAGGCGGCCACAACCUCCACCACCCGCAUGCUGUACCACCAGCGCAAGAGGCGGCUCUAGCGUGCAAAGCGGCACGACUCGAGCAGCGCCUCCUGCUCCGCCCGCUCCGCGGUGAUCUGUUCAUCCGUGAAGGAAAUAUGCCCUAGAGGCAAUAAUAAACAUGUUAUUUAUAUUUCCUUAUAUCAUGAUAAAUGUUGAUUAUUCAUGCUAGAAUUGUAUUAACCAGAAACUUAGUACAUGUGUGAAUACAUAGACAAACAGAGUGUCACUAGUAUGCCUCUACUUGACUAGCUCGUUGAAUCAAUGAUGGUUAUGUUUCCUAACCAUAGACAUGAGUUGUCAUUUGAUUAACGGGAUCACAUCAUUAGAGAAUGAUGUGAUUGACUUGACCCAUCCGUUAGCUUAGCACGAUGAUCAUUUAGUUUGUUGCUAUUGCUUUCUCCAUAACUUAUACAUGUUCCUAUGACUAUGAGAUCAUGCAACUCUCGAAUACCGGAGGAUCACUUAGUGUGCUAUCAAACGUCACAACGUAACUGGGUGACUAUAAAGAUGCUCUAUAGGUGUCUCCGAUGGUGUUUGUUGAGUUGGCAUAGAUUGAGAUUAGGAUUUGUCACUCCGAGUAUCGGAGAGGUAUCUCUGGGCCCUCUCGGUAAUGGACAUCACUAUAAGCCUUGCAAGCAAUGUGACUAAUGAGUUAGUUACGGGAUGUUGCAUUACGGAACGAGUAAAGAGACUUGCCGGUAAUGAGAUUGAACUAGGUAUUAAGAUACUGUCGAUCGAAUCUCGGGCAAGUAACAUAUCAAUGACAAAGGGAACAACGUAUGUUGUUGUGCGGUUUGACUGAUGAUAGAUCUUCAUAGAAUAUGUAGGAACCAAUAUGAGCAUCCUGGUUCUGCUAUUGGAUAUUGACCGAAGAUGAGUCUCGGUCAUGUCUACAUAGUUCUUAAACCCGUAGGGUCCACACGCUUAACGUCCGGUGACGACCGGUAUUAUGAGUUUAUGUGUUUUGAUGUAGGAUGAAAGAACGAAAGAAUCUGUAUGAUAACGAAAGAGAAGAACUCUUGAACGAACCACCGUAAGAAUUAGAAAUGAAUGAAGUAAAGGGAUGAAUCACCGGUAAGAAUUAGAGACCGAAAGAAGAUACUUGAGGAAAUCUAGAUACAUGAGAACGAAGAGAUCACGAGCUGAUUAGGGAUCACUUGAACGAUGCACCGGUAAGAUUUGGAGAAUGUGAGCUGGAAGGUGAAAUGAAUAAAUCUUCUGAAAUGAUGGGCUCCGAAGAAUCAGACUGAAAAGACUCCUGAAUUGCUCCGGAAGGAUGAAAAGAAUUCUCACAAUCGCAAAUGAUUAUGAGAGGAUGGCACGAAGCUAGAGCCAUGAAUCUUGAGAGAACGGGCCAAGAUUUGAGAGAAACGCUUCUUCGAUCUUCAAAUGUUGAUAAUGACGAUGAGAAGCACCACCAAGAAUUGUGGAGAUACUCUAGGAGAAUGAAUAAUGAAGGAGUUGAGCCAACGAUGAAAAGAAUUUGACAGAUCUUGGAGAAACACAUAUGACUGAUGAUGAUUCAUUCUUACGUCAAACUUUAGAAGAUUUGAGAAUAGCUCCGGGAAAAAUUAGAAGAGUCAGGUAAGAUCCUGGGAAAAGACCUGUGGGUUAGGGCCCACUCAAAAGAAACACCGUAGAACGAUUUAAAAGAGAGAAUGCACCGGUUGAGUUACAUGGCUUGAAUGAGAUAACAACCUCGAAAUAGGUUGAACUGAUCUUGAAUGAAAAGACGAGACUUCUGAGAUAUCUUGAGCACUCCAGGACAAUAGAAUAGAGAGAGGUGAAUGAUUAAGAAUUGCACCGGCAUGAGAAAGCAUUGAAAUGAGGAAAGGGUAUGAUCAACAAAGCUUGACUUGAAACCACCGGAGAAGAAAAGAAUGCAAAAUAUUGAACUUGUAGCUUCCUUAGCAUCUUCAUGAGAAUCACCGGAUAAGAACAUGAAGGAAAUGAAUGGAGGGACUUCACAUGAAUAAAAGGAUACUUGAUUAAAGAAUCCGAGUCCUUGAAGAAAAAGGGUGGGUGGGCGGGAAAAAACAAAAGGCAGCUUGGGACGAAUGAAACAAACAACAUUGAGAAGACUUGGAGUUGAUCUUACGUAUGAGACAAAUGAUAGGAUCAUCUUGAAGAGAAUCGCACCGGCUGACAAGGAUUGACAUGACAAACUCGAUGAUCGAGAAGGAUUAUCAUCCACAUAGAAAUGUGAGGACAUCACUUAGGAAAAGGUAUGGAAUGAACAUUUGACUUUGAAGCAACUCGAAUACCACAACUCAAAACAAAACCAAGGAUUGGCUUGCUUAAUAAGCCGGAACAAACAUAUGAUAGAGAUUUCGUCCGAAGUUUUUGUGGUGGGGCCUACACGGGCUCGAUCGUACAACACCAUCAUGUACAAGGCAGUGCACAUGACAUACGAAGCAUCCCCGAGUCAGCAUAGCCAAGGACUCUUUAAGACACAACGAGACCACUGUAAAACCAACCGUGGAUAGGCGGACCACUAGACGUCGAACCCCAAUUUCAUAUCAUACAUCCGUCGGAAAGAUAUCCUAAGAGCUACUUGAAUUCCCACUUAUAAACUCCCGAAACUCUCCCGGUUAUGCAAUCAGGUGUUGGGGAUACAGGGGAAGCAUAAUAUCUCACCCAAAACUAGCAAAUCCUACAUCCAGCUGUAUCCAUCCUUCAACACAUAACCAAGAAACCUUCAGAAAUUGUUUACCUCAACCUUCGAAAAGCAUCCGUUAUACGAGUUAUGGAAAUACCCCGAACUCCUGCCCAGUACUGGGUGGCGUCGAGGUUAUCUCACCAAUAACUGCAUAAAAGAGAUUUUCGAUGUCGGCGAAACUCAGGUAUUCCAGAACUGCAACGAUAAAAUUGCGACGACAACACCUCGGAGCUCAACUCCCCGGAACACUGCCACAAGCCCUAAAUGUCAGGAGGCACCAAGAACAAUGUUCUCGUCACAAAACCAUUGGAAUGAUUCCAAGAUACCCGCGUGAUCCUAAAAAAAAUUUAGUGAAAAUUUGAGAAGAGAAGGGUCAAAACUCUACGUCAGGAUGCCUCACCAGAGCGACGAAGGGACUGAGGAGUAAAAAGAAUCCUACUCUCCGAUAUAUAUAAAUCCUAAAUGACUCAAAACAUUUUUUCCUAGACUCAACAACGCCAACGAUUCAAUCAAGCAGGGGCUCCUAAGUCGGGGAAGGCUCUGAUACCAACUUGUCACACCCUCGAUGCGGCUAUAUCUCCCACGUGUCGGAGCACGACUUAGAGGCAUAACCGCAUUGAAGGCAAUGUCGCAAGAAGGGUAAUCUUUACACAUCCCAUGUACUGAAUAAGAAAAGAGGUACAUAGUUGGCUUACAAUCGCCACUUCACACAAUACAUGAAUAUAGCAAUGCAUCAUCCAGAUACAAUGAAGGUCCGACUACGGAACCAAAAUAAAAGAAGACUACCCCUAAUGCAACAGAUCCCCGAUCGUCCCAACUGGGCUCCACUACUGAUCAACUGAAACAAAACAACACGAUGAACAAGAUCUUCAUCGAGCUCCUCCUUGAGCUCGGUUGCGUCACCCGCACGGUAUCAUCGGCACCUGCAAGCUGGUUUUGGAAGUAUCUAUAAGCCACGGGGACUAAACAAUCUCACACCCUCGCGAUCAAGACUAUUUAAGCUUAUGGGUAAGGAAAAAGGUAUAAGGUGGAGCUACAGCAAGCGACUAGCAUAUUUGGUGGCUAACAUACGCAAAUGAGAGUGAGAAUAGAAGGCAAAAGCACGGUCGAGAAACUAUGAUCAAGAAGUGAUCCAAGACUACUUACGCCAAUCAUAACUCCAACACCAUGUUCACUUCCCGGACUCCGCCGGAAAGAGACCAUCAUGGCUACACAUGCGGUUGAUGCAUUUUACUUAAGUUAAGCUUUAGGUUUUCUACAACCGGACAUUAACAAAUUCCCAUCUGCCCAUAACCGCGGGCACGGCUUUCGAAAGUUCAAAACCCUGUAGGGGUGUCCCAACUUAGCCCAUCACAAGCUCUCACGGUCAACGAAGGAUAUUCCUUCUCCCAAGACAAUCCGAUCAGACUCAGCAUCCCGGUUACAAGACAUUUCGACAAUGGUAAAACAAGACCAACAAAGCCACCCAGAUGUGCCGACAAAUCCCGAUAGGAGCUGCACAUAUCUCGUUCUCAGGGCACACCGGAUGAGCGAGACGUCGAGUAGGCCAGCCCAGAGUUGCCCCUGGUAGCCCCGGACAUUGGUCGGUUUGGACCAACACUUAGAGAAGCACUGGCCCGGGGGUUUAAAUAAAGAUGACCCUUGAGCCAGCCGACCCAAGGGAAAGAAAAGCCUAGGUGGCAAAUGGUAAAACCAAUUUUGGGCCUUGCUGGAGGAGUUUUAUUCAAGGCGAACUAUCAAGGGGUUCCCAUUAUAACCCAACCGUGUAAGGAACGCAAAAUCAAGGAACAUAACACCGGUAUGACGGAAACUAGGGUGGCAAGAGUGGAACAAAACACCAGGCAUAAGGCCGAGCCUUCCACCCUUUACCAAGUAUAUAGAUGCAUUAAUUAAAUAAGAGAUAUUGUGAUAUCCCAACUACAAUCCAUGUUCCAACAUGGAACAAACUCCAAUCUUCACCUGCAACUAGCAAUGCUAUAAGAGGGGCUGAGCAAAGCGGUAACAUAGCCAAACAACGGUUUGCUAGGACAAGGAGGGUUAGAGGUUUGACAUGGAAAUAAGGGAGGCACGAUAAGCAAGUGGUAGGUAUCGCAGCAUAGGCAUAGCAAAAGCGCGAGCAACUAGCAAGCAAAGAUAGAAGUGAUUUCAAGGGUAUGGUCAUCUUGCCUGCAAAGUACUCUGAGAAGACGAAAGCUUGAUCCUCGAAAGCGUAAUCAAUGGAUCCUCGAACACGAACUCGUCUCCAGGCUCUACCCAAAGCAAGAACACAAGCAAAGGGAGACACAAUCAACCACGUGCAAUGCACAAACAACAUGAUGCAAAACAUGGCAUGAUAUGCAGGAUGCGAUAUGCGAUGCAUAUGCAUGAUUCAAAAAGGAAUGAUUGAACCUGGCCUCAACUUGGAAAACCAAGAGUGCCACUGGAAAGGGGAGUUGAUUUCGGUUGAAAUCGAUAUAAAGAUCACCGGAAUCGGAUGCACGGUUUGGAAAUGGCAAACAAAACAAAUAUGGCACCGAUCUGCGAUUAACAACACGAGACCCUCUAAAUGCAUCAAGAACAACAAGCUACAGCACUCCAACAUAGCAACAAAAUACAUGGCAGGGAUCCACUCAAGAUGCUUGACAAAAGAUGAACACUGAGCUAUGGCUAAUUCACUCAAUAACAGGUUCAAACAAGCAUGGCAAAAGUGCAAAAGAUAUCAGGUUACAGACUUUCAGGAAUUUAACAUCAGGAAGCAAUGUUUAGAGCAAGGUAACAACAUGCUACAUGAACAUAUCAUGGCAAAGCAAGGCAUGGCAUGAAGCUACUCAAAGCAUACAACAAAAGUCCCUUACUGACCAUCAGCCAAAAGGGAUCAGAAAAUACAAUGGCAACCAUGUGAACAUAGCAAUUAUCGUUAACAGAUUCAGACUUAGCAGAAAACUGGAACAUGGCAAAACAGAUAUCAAGUAGGCAUGUUUACGGGAUCGAUGCACUCACUACGAGGCAUUACAUGACAAACUAAGCAUACACCCAGCAAGUAGACAUGGCAUAGAAGCUAAACAUGGCAAUAACAACAAUAUAGCAUGCAUGGAUCAUCUACAACAACCUCGGCAAAAUUGCUAAACAUGUUAACAAUCUGCCAGGAACAUUUUAUAGCAAAAGUAGAGCUCGAUUGGCUCAAGCUAGGGUGCUCCAUAAAUGCAAACAAAGACAGGGAUGGAUAGAGCACCACAAUAUCUACAAAACAUCCUUACUGAUCAUGCUCAAAAGAGGCACGGAUCACUUGGUAACAACAUGAACACAUGGCAUAAAAAUUACAGCAGGAAAAGGACUUAGUGAAAUUCUAAGUCCCUGAAAUCAGCAACAUUAAGUAAGCUACUUUGCAUGCUUGUGCUAGUCACCACAGAGAUCACAAAAAUACAUGGCAUACACCCCUGUAAAGAUGGCAUGGCAUACUUCAAAACUCAUGAAGAGCUCAAGAUCAUAGCAUGCACACAUUAAUCAUCUCAAAAAUGACAAAAGUGCAUUUACUGAUAAUAAUCUGAAACUAACAUCACAUAGCCCUCUUCCAACAGCUUUUGGGCAUCAAGAUGAGCUCAAACGAACAUGAUGCAAAGAGAUGAAAUGAAGUACUUGUCGAGACGAACAUUUCGAUAUGCUACACGCACAAAUCGGAGCAACGGUGAUGAAGUUAUGACAAGAUGAAGGAGGCAUAAAAAUAUGCAGAUCUCAGGACUUAGCAAAAAAAAC